CCUUCGAUAGCUCAGUUGGUAGAGCGGUGGACUGUAGAAAACAAGCAGACACGAAUCAACAGUUGCAUUCCCAACCACUUGAUCGCUGUGAAGCAAUAGAAAUCCAUAGGUCACUGGUUCAAAUCCGGUUCGAAGGA
Molecule: transfer RNA, 137 nt
Filed under: Anopheles sinensis
Lineage: Eukaryota; Metazoa; Arthropoda; Insecta; Diptera; Culicidae
Description: tRNA tRNA-Tyr
Rfam family: tRNA
About the family: Transfer RNA (tRNA) molecules are approximately 80 nucleotides in length. Their secondary structure includes four short double-helical elements and three loops (D, anti-codon, and T loops).
Source: RNAcentral